CCUUCAUGAAGCCGGAAUUGCUAGUAAUGGCAGGUCAGCAUACUGCCGUGAAUACGUUCCCGGGCCUUGUACACACCGCCCGUCACACCAUGAGAGUUGGGAAUACCCGAAGCCUGUGAGCUAACGUUAAGAGGCAGCAGCCGAAGGUAGAAUCAAUGAUUGGGGUGAAGUCGUAACAAGGUAUC
This 185-nucleotide ribosomal RNA is filed under the name uncultured bacterium. RNAcentral describes it as "partial 16S ribosomal RNA". It matches the Rfam family "Bacterial small subunit ribosomal RNA", at positions 1315 to 1500 of the family's 1533-position model. The record is from RNAcentral.